RNAcentral lists this ribosomal RNA (2953 nucleotides) under Staphylococcus aureus subsp. aureus CN1. RNAcentral describes it as "bacterial LSU rRNA". It matches the Rfam family "Bacterial large subunit ribosomal RNA". The record is from RNAcentral. Lineage: Bacteria; Bacillati; Bacillota; Bacilli; Caryophanales; Staphylococcaceae.
CGUUUGACUUAUAAAAAUGGUGGAAACAUAGAUUAAGUUAUUAAGGGCGCACGGUGGAUGCCUUGGCACUAGAAGCCGAUGAAGGACGUUACUAACGACGAUAUGCUUUGGGGAGCUGUAAGUAAGCUUUGAUCCAGAGAUUUCCGAAUGGGGAAACCCAGCAUGAGUUAUGUCAUGUUAUCGAUAUGUGAAUACAUAGCAUAUCAGAAGGCACACCCGGAGAACUGAAACAUCUUAGUACCCGGAGGAAGAGAAAGAAAAUUCGAUUCCCUUAGUAGCGGCGAGCGAAACGGGAAGAGCCCAAACCAACAAGCUUGCUUGUUGGGGUUGUAGGACACUCUAUACGGAGUUACAAAGGACGACAUUAGACGAAUCAUCUGGAAAGAUGAAUCAAAGAAGGUAAUAAUCCUGUAGUCGAAAAUGUUGUCUCUCUUGAGUGGAUCCUGAGUACGACGGAGCACGUGAAAUUCCGUCGGAAUCUGGGAGGACCAUCUCCUAAGGCUAAAUACUCUCUAGUGACCGAUAGUGAACCAGUACCGUGAGGGAAAGGUGAAAAGCACCCCGGAAGGGGAGUGAAAUAGAACCUGAAACCGUGUGCUUACAAGUAGUCAGAGCCCGUUAAUGGGUGAUGGCGUGCCUUUUGUAGAAUGAACCGGCGAGUUACGAUUUGAUGCAAGGUUAAGCAGUAAAUGUGGAGCCGUAGCGAAAGCGAGUCUGAAUAGGGCGUUUAGUAUUUGGUCGUAGACCCGAAACCAGGUGAUCUACCCUUGGUCAGGUUGAAGUUCAGGUAACACUGAAUGGAGGACCGAACCGACUUACGUUGAAAAGUGAGCGGAUGAACUGAGGGUAGCGGAGAAAUUCCAAUCGAACCUGGAGAUAGCUGGUUCUCUCCGAAAUAGCUUUAGGGCUAGCCUCAAGUGAUGAUUAUUGGAGGUAGAGCACUGUUUGGACGAGGGGCCCCUCUCGGGUUACCGAAUUCAGACAAACUCCGAAUGCCAAUUAAUUUAACUUGGGAGUCAGAACAUGGGUGAUAAGGUCCGUGUUCGAAAGGGAAACAGCCCAGACCACCAGCUAAGGUCCCAAAAUAUAUGUUAAGUGGAAAAGGAUGUGGCGUUGCCCAGACAACUAGGAUGUUGGCUUAGAAGCAGCCAUCAUUUAAAGAGUGCGUAAUAGCUCACUAGUCGAGUGACACUGCGCCGAAAAUGUACCGGGGCUAAACAUAUUACCGAAGCUGUGGAUUGUCCUUUGGACAAUGGUAGGAGAGCGUUCUAAGGGCGUUGAAGCAUGAUCGUAAGGACAUGUGGAGCGCUUAGAAGUGAGAAUGCCGGUGUGAGUAGCGAAAGACGGGUGAGAAUCCCGUCCACCGAUUGACUAAGGUUUCCAGAGGAAGGCUCGUCCGCUCUGGGUUAGUCGGGUCCUAAGCUGAGGCCGACAGGCGUAGGCGAUGGAUAACAGGUUGAUAUUCCUGUACCACCUAUAAUCGUUUUAAUCGAUGGGGGGACGCAGUAGGAUAGGCGAAGCGUGCGAUUGGAUUGCACGUCUAAGCAGUAAGGCUGAGUAUUAGGCAAAUCCGGUACUCGUUAAGGCUGAGCUGUGAUGGGGAGAAGACAUUGWGUCUUCGAGUCGUUGAUUUCACACUGCCGAGAAAAGCCUCUAGAUAGAAAAUAGGUGCCCGUACCGCAAACCGACACAGGUAGUCAAGAUGAGAAUUCUAAGGUGAGCGAGCGAACUCUCGUUAAGGAACUCGGCAAAAUGACCCCGUAACUUCGGGAGAAGGGGUGCUCUUUAGGGUUAACGCCCAGAAGAGCCGCAGUGAAUAGGCCCAAGCGACUGUUUAUCAAAAACACAGGUCUCUGCUAAACCGUAAGGUGAUGUAUAGGGGCUGACGCCUGCCCGGUGCUGGAAGGUUAAGAGGAGUGGUUAGCUUCUGCGAAGCUACGAAUCGAAGCCCCAGUAAACGGCGGCCGUAACUAUAACGGUCCUAAGGUAGCGAAAUUCCUUGUCGGGUAAGUUCCGACCCGCACGAAAGGCGUAACGAUUUGGGCACUGUCUCAACGAGAGACUCGGUGAAAUCAUAGUACCUGUGAAGAUGCAGGUUACCCGCGACAGGACGGAAAGACCCCGUGGAGCUUUACUGUAGCCUGAUAUUGAAAUUCGGCACAGCUUGUACAGGAUAGGUAGGAGCCUUUGAAACGUGAGCGCUAGCUUACGUGGAGGCGCUGGUGGGAUACUACCCUAGCUGUGUUGGCUUUCUAACCCGCACCACUUAUCGUGGUGGGAGACAGUGUCAGGCGGGCAGUUUGACUGGGGCGGUCGCCUCCUAAAAGGUAACGGAGGCGCUCAAAGGUUCCCUCAGAAUGGUUGGAAAUCAUUCAUAGAGUGUAAAGGCAUAAGGGAGCUUGACUGCGAGACCUACAAGUCGAGCAGGGUCGAAAGACGGACUUAGUGAUCCGGUGGUUCCGCAUGGAAGGGCCAUCGCUCAACGGAUAAAAGCUACCCCGGGGAUAACAGGCUUAUCUCCCCCAAGAGUUCACAUCGACGGGGAGGUUUGGCACCUCGAUGUCGGCUCAUCGCAUCCUGGGGCUGUAGUCGGUCCCAAGGGUUGGGCUGUUCGCCCAUUAAAGCGGUACGCGAGCUGGGUUCAGAACGUCGUGAGACAGUUCGGUCCCUAUCCGUCGUGGGCGUAGGAAAUUUGAGAGGAGCUGUCCUUAGUACGAGAGGACCGGGAUGGACAUACCUCUGGUGUACCAGUUGUCGUGCCAACGGCAUAGCUGGGUAGCUAUGUGUGGACGGGAUAAGUGCUGAAAGCAUCUAAGCAUGAAGCCCCCCUCAAGAUGAGAUUUCCCAACUUCGGUUAUAAGAUCCCUCAAAGAUGAUGAGGUUAAUAGGUUCGAGGUGGAAGCAUGGUGACAUGUGGAGCUGACGAAUACUAAUCGAUCGAAGACUUAAUCAA